This 548-nucleotide small RNA is filed under the name Pan troglodytes (chimpanzee). Its description in RNAcentral is "processed transcript". The record is from RNAcentral. Lineage: Eukaryota; Metazoa; Chordata; Mammalia; Primates; Hominidae.
AUUCAUUAUUCACUGUGGUAGCCACUGGCCACAUGUGACUUUUGAGCACUUGUGACUAGUCUGAAUUGAAAUGUGUAGAGAUAUCUGAAGAGAUUAUAGGAUCACCCAUCCCAGAACCUAGGCAACGCUCAAGACUUCUAAGAUCUCAAUCAGAAAGCUCGGAUGAAGUUACAGAAUUAGACCUUUCACAUGGGAAAAAAGAUGCUUUUGUUUUGGAGAUUGAUGACACAGAUGCCAUGGAAGAUGUCCAUUCUCUACUUACUGAUGUUCCUCCUCCUUCAGGCUUUUAUAGUUGUAAUACAGAAAUUAUGCCCGGUAUAAAUAAUUGGACAUCUGAAAUACAGAUGUUCACUUCAGUAAGAGUAAUCAGAUUAAGCAGCCUCAACCUGACUAAUCAAGCUCUCAAUAAGAACUUUAAUGAUCUCUGUGAAAAUUUGCUCAAGAGCCUGUACUUUAAACUACGAUCUAUGAUCCCCUGCUGCCUCUGCCAUGUAAAUUUUACAGUAUCUCUGCCUGAAGAUGAAUUAAUUCAGGUUACAGUCACGGCA